GACGAACGCUGGCGGCGUGCCUAAUACAUGCAAGUCGAACGCUUCUUUUUCCACCGGAGCUUGCUCCACCGGAAAAAGAGGAGUGGCGAACGGGUGAGUAACACGUGGGUAACCUGCCCAUCAGAAGGGGAUAACACUUGGAAACAGGUGCUAAUACCGUAUAACAAUCAAAACCGCAUGGUUUUGAUUUGAAAGGCGCUUUCGGGUGUCGCUGAUGGAUGGACCCGCGGUGCAUUAGCUAGUUGGUGAGGUAACGGCUCACCAAGGCCACGAUGCAUAGCCGACCUGAGAGGGUGAUCGGCCACAUUGGGACUGAGACACGGCCCAAACUCCUACGGGAGGCAGCAGUAGGGAAUCUUCGGCAAUGGACGAAAGUCUGACCGAGCAACGCCGCGUGAGUGAAGAAGGUUUUCGGAUCGUAAAACUCUGUUGUUAGAGAAGAACAAGGAUGAGAGUAACUGUUCAUCCCUUGACGGUAUCUAACCAGAAAGCCACGGCUAACUACGUGCCAGCAGCCGCGGUAAUACGUAGGUGGCAAGCGUUGUCCGGAUUUAUUGGGCGUAAAGCGAGCGCAGGCGGUUUCUUAAGUCUGAUGUGAAAGCCCCCGGCUCAACCGGGGAGGGUCAUUGGAAACUGGGAGACUUGAGUGCAGAAGAGGAGAGUGGAAUUCCAUGUGUAGCGGUGAAAUGCGUAGAUAUAUGGAGGAACACCAGUGGCGAA
Molecule: ribosomal RNA, 720 nt
Filed under: uncultured Bacilli bacterium
Lineage: Bacteria; Bacillati; Bacillota; Bacilli
Description: bacterial SSU rRNA
Rfam family: Bacterial small subunit ribosomal RNA
Source: RNAcentral